This 253-nucleotide ribosomal RNA is filed under the name uncultured bacterium. RNAcentral's name for it is "partial 16S ribosomal RNA". It matches the Rfam family "Bacterial small subunit ribosomal RNA", at positions 524 to 776 of the family's 1533-position model. The record is from RNAcentral.
UACGUAGGUGGCAAGCGUUGUCCGGAUUUACUGGGCGUAAAGAGCGCGCAGGCGGUCGGAUUAGUCGCGUGUGAAAGCCCCCGGCUCAACUGGGGAGGGUCACGCGAUACUGUUCGACUCGAAGGCAGGAGAGGGAAGUGGAAUUCCCGGUGUAGUGGUGAAAUGCGUAGAUAUCUGGAGGAACACCGGUGGCGAAGGCGGCGUUCUGGACUGCAACUGACACUGAGGAACGAAAGCCAGGGGAGCAAACGGG